UACGGGGGAUGCAAGCGUUAUCCGGAAUCAUUGGGCGUAAAGCGCCUGUAGGUUGUUUAAUAAGUCUGUUGUUAAAGACUAGGGCUCAACCCUAGAAAAGCAAUGGAAACUACUAGACUAGAGUAUGGCAGGGGUAGAGGGAAUUUCUAGUGUAGCGGUGAAAUGCGUAGAUAUUAGAAAGAACACCAGUGGCGAAAGCGCUCUACUGGACCAUUACUGACACUCAGAGGCGAAAGCUAGGGUAGCAAAAGGGAUUAGAUACCCCUGUAGUCCUAGCCGUAAACGAUGGAUACUAGAUGUUGUACGUCAUGUACAGUAUCGUAGCUAACGCGUUAAGUAUCCCGCCUGGGGAGUACGCUCGCAAGGGUG
Molecule: ribosomal RNA, 369 nt
Filed under: uncultured phototrophic eukaryote
Lineage: Eukaryota
Description: SSU rRNA
Rfam family: Bacterial small subunit ribosomal RNA
Source: RNAcentral